This 496-nucleotide ribosomal RNA is filed under the name uncultured bacterium. RNAcentral describes it as "bacterial SSU rRNA". It matches the Rfam family "Bacterial small subunit ribosomal RNA", at positions 35 to 507 of the family's 1533-position model. The record is from RNAcentral.
GCUGGCGGCGUGCUUAACACAUGCAAGUCGAACGAGACGAUUGAAAGCUUGCUUUGAAAGUCGAGUGGCAAACGGGUGAGUAACGCGUAGACAACCUGCCUCUCAGAUGGGGACAACAUCCCGAAAAGGGGGUGCUAAUACCCGGAAUGUUGUGCGACCUCCACAUGGAGGGCGUACCAAAGGUGGUUUCGGCCACCGCUGAGAGAUGGGCCUGCGUCUGAUUAGCUAGUUGGUGGGGUAACGGCCUACCAAGGCGACGAUCAGUAGCCGGUCUGAGAGGAUGAACGGCCACAUUGGGACUGAGACACGGCCCAGACUCCUACGGGAGGCAGCAGUGGGGAAUCUUCCGCAAUGGGCGAAAGCCUGACGGAGCAAUGCCGCGUGAGUGAUGAAGGAAUUCGUUCCGUAAAGCUCUUUUGUUUAUGACGAAUGUGCAGACUGUGAAUAAUGGUUUGUAAUGACGGUAGUAAACGAAUAAGCCACGGCUAACUACGUG